GUGAUGGGUCGCCCCACCGCGGCAAGGGAGGCAACUCCGGCGACGAGGAAAGUCCGGGCAACGCAGAGCACCCUGCUUCCUAACGGGAAGGACUGGCAAGCGUAACGUGAACCAGGACAGCCAGUGCCACAGAAAACUACCGCCUACGUCGCCUUCGGGGGGCCGGUAAGGGUGAAAAGGUGCGGUAAGAGCGCACCAGCGGCCGGGCAACCGUGUCGGCUGGGUAAACCUCAGGGGUUGAAAGACCAAAUAAGCUGGUACGCGGGCCGCAAGGCCCGCACCGGGCGGCUCGUCCGGCGCCAGCGGGUAGGUUGAUGGAGCCUUUCCGCGAGGACUGGCCUAGAUAAAUGGUGGGGCCGUGGCAACACGGACAAAACCCGGCUUACAGACUCAUCACCGGC
RNAcentral lists this RNase P RNA (401 nucleotides) under Hymenobacter elongatus. RNAcentral's name for it is "RNase P RNA component class A". It matches the Rfam family "Bacterial RNase P class A". From Rfam's summary of the family: Ribonuclease P (RNase P) is a ubiquitous endoribonuclease, found in archaea, bacteria and eukarya as well as chloroplasts and mitochondria. Its best characterised activity is the generation of mature 5'-ends of tRNAs by cleaving the 5'-leader elements of precursor-tRNAs. Lineage: Bacteria; Pseudomonadati; Bacteroidota; Cytophagia; Cytophagales; Hymenobacteraceae. The record is from RNAcentral.